UUUAAAGUAACAUAAAUAAUGUGGUAGAUUUAAGUCCUGCUUAUAGCCCAGCUCUUUAAAA
Molecule: transfer RNA, 61 nt
Filed under: Grandidierella japonica
Lineage: Eukaryota; Metazoa; Arthropoda; Malacostraca; Amphipoda; Corophiidae
Description: tRNA-Leu
Source: RNAcentral